This 224-nucleotide ribosomal RNA is filed under the name uncultured Glomeromycotina. RNAcentral describes it as "partial 28S ribosomal RNA". Lineage: Eukaryota; Fungi; Glomeromycota. The record is from RNAcentral.
UCGUUUAAAGCCAUUACGUCAACAUCCUUAAUGAAUUUAUUCCGUUCUAACCUUUUGACGAACACUUAAAUACCAUAAGCACGCUUUCAGCACCAAAGUGACAAAUCAGAGGCCAGACGAUAGCCCAAAAGGGUAUUCGUUGCAAUCCUCGAUCCCAAUCGUCACAUCUACCAAAGGUAUAACACUCCGAUACGAGAUCGAAGCCACAUUCCUCCGAUCAUUUU